GUCAGUACUGCAGUGUGACGGGUGCUGAGAGAGGGACAGGGCAUGCCUCGGCGGGAGCCUCUGGGUGGGGGGAAUGGGCCAUGCCCGGGCUCAGUGCGAACAGCCCUGGGACUGUUGUGGAGAGACGAACUGGGAGGAGCUGGGGUGAGGGAAGAGAAGGUUACCUAUGGGGACCGCUGAGGUUUGAGACCUCGAGAGGGUCCCGUACGACGAGCGCUGUGAAUCUCCGCCUGCUUGUCCUGCUCAUGGUCACACUGAUCCUUUUGCAGGGUCGGUGCCCAGCCCCCAACAGGGGCAGAGGAGGGAGCGUGUCUGGGUGAGUCCUCCCCCGGUGGAGGGUGGGCUGGGUGCCGACCAGCCGUGGAUCUGACAUCUCUGUUGACUCUCUGCAGUGGAUCUGAUCACGUCAAGCCCCCAGUGCCUGCACGGCUUGGUGGGGUGGGUGCACGGACAUGCGGCUAGCUGCAGGGCCCUGCCCCACCUUCAGAGGACACUGUCCUCCGAGUACUGCGGUGUCAUCCAGGUCGUGUGGGGCUGCGACCAGGGCCACGACUACACCAUGGACACCAGCUCCAGCUGCAAGGCCUUCUUGCUGGACAGUGCGCUGGCAGUCAAGUGGCCAUGGGACAAAGAGACGGCUCCACGGCUGCCCCAGCACCGAGGGUGGAACCCUGGGGAUGCCCCUCAGACCUCCCAGGGUAGAGGGACAGGGACCCCAGUUGGGGCUGAGACCAAGACCCUGCCCAGCACGGAUGUGGCCCAGCCUCCUUCGGACAGCGACAUGGUGGGGCCCAGGUCGGGCUUCCCACCUCAGCCAAGCCUGCCCCUUUGCAGGGCCCCAGGGCAGUUGGGUGAGAAGCAGGUUCCAUCUUCAACCUCGGAUGAUCGGGUAAAAGACGAGUUCAGUGACCUUUCUGAGGGAGACGUCUUGAGUGAAGAUGAAAAUGACAAGAAGCAAAAUGCCCAGUCUUCGGACGAGUCCUUUGAGCCUUACCCAGAAAGGAAGGUCUCUGGUAAGAAGAGUGAAAGCAAAGAAGCCAAGAAAUCUGAAGAACCAAGAAUUCGGAAGAAGCCGGGACCCAAGCCCGGAUGGAAGAAGAAGCUUCGUUGUGAGAGGUGAUGCCUGGAACGCGAGGCUCGCCCUGCCUGUCGGGGCCGGGGCUCCAUGCAUGCUCUUCAUUGCAGGGAGGAGCUUCCCACCAUCUACAAGUGUCCUUACCAGGGCUGCACAGCCGUGUAUCGAGGCGCUGACGGCAUGAAGAAGCACAUCAAGGAGCAUCAUGAGGAGGUCCGGGAGCGGCCCUGCCCCCAUCCUGGCUGCAACAAGGUUUUCAUGAUUGAUCGCUACCUGCAGCGCCACGUGAAGCUCAUCCACACAGAGGUGCGGAACUACAUCUGUGACGAGUGUGGACAAACCUUCAAGCAGCGGAAGCACCUUCUCGUCCACCAAAUGCGACAUUCGGGAGCCAAGCCUUUGCAGUAAGUGUGAGUCAGGCCCCCCGCCAGGGCUGUGGCCCACGCACCUUCUUACCUGCCUCUGUCCCCCAGGUGUGAGGUCUGUGGGUUCCAGUGCAGGCAGCGGGCAUCCCUCAAGUACCACAUGACCAAACACAAGGCUGAGACGGAGCUGGACUUUGCCUGUGACCAGUGUGGCCGGCGGUUUGAGAAGGCCCACAACCUCAACGUACACAUGUCCAUGGUGCACCCGCUGACACAGACCCAGGACAAGGCCCUGCCCCUGGAGGCGGAACCACCACCUGGGCCACCGAGCCCCUCUGUGACCACAGAGGGCCAGGCGGUGAAGCCCGAACCCACCUGAGGACGGCAGUGAGGAUGAGCACCUCUAGCAGCCCGGACUCCGCAGAGGCUGUCAGCCUCACCCUUCGUGUGCACCCGCAUGGGAGGGUCAGAGGGUGCUGCCCGCCCUCAGUGCUGGAGGCGGGCUUGGUGUACGGCUCAAGUAGCCUUCCUCUGCUCUGGGACCAGUGGUUUAUUUUCCUGCAAAUGCUGAGUGACCUGGGGCCAGACAGUUUAUAAAUAAUUGAUUCCUUUCCCCACUAAAGCAAUCGAGGAGAUUUGUAAUCCACUUUUUAGUGCAACAAGAGCUCCAUGUUAUGCUUGUAAUAAAUUAUUUACACAGGAGCUGGGCUGGUGUGCAGU
RNAcentral lists this small RNA (2160 nucleotides) under Pongo abelii (Sumatran orangutan). RNAcentral's name for it is "retained intron". Lineage: Eukaryota; Metazoa; Chordata; Mammalia; Primates; Hominidae. The record is from RNAcentral.